Camellia sinensis is the source of this 1529-nucleotide RNA transcript. It is a transcript of the gene named bacterial transferase hexapeptide repeat-containing protein, with no coding region annotated. The record is from RefSeq and is a predicted model, not a curated record. NCBI's taxonomy places the organism in Eukaryota, Viridiplantae, Streptophyta, Magnoliopsida, Ericales, Theaceae.
UAUAAAAAAUCGUAGACAAAGCCCGCCCACGGAGACACCCAAUUUUCGUGCACCCAUGUCGUCGUCUUCACUUCUCCAGCUUCUUCGCAGACCACUGUCCUCUGCUCUCAGAAUCAGAUCUCUCUCUCUCCAACACUUCUCCACUUCACUUCCUCAUAUUUUGGAGGAGACCAAAGACAAUGCUAAGAUUGGAAGAAACCCUAGCUUUAUUCAUCCAGCUGCAAUUGUUCAUUCAGGGGCCGUCAUAGGUCAGGGUGUUUCAAUUGGUCCAUUUUGUACAGUUGGCUCUUCUGCAAAGUUGGGUAAUUCUUGUCAGCUAUAUCCAGGAAGUCAUAUUUUUGGGAAUACAGAACUUGGGGAUCACUGCAUUUUGAUGAGUGGCGCUGUGGUUGGAGACGAUCUUCCUGGGCAUACAGUCAUUGGAUGCAAUAAUGUUAUAGGGCAUCAUUCUUUGGUUGGUAUAAAAUGCCAAGAUAUGAAAUACAAGUCAGGUGAUGAAUGCUUUCUAGAGAUUGGAGACAACAAUGAGAUCAGGGAAUAUGCCUCUAUCCAUCGAUCUUCCAAGCCAAGUGAAAAAACAGUCAUUGGUGAUAACAAUCUGAUUAUGGGGUCUUGUCAUAUUGCCCAUGACUGCAAAGUGGGUAACAACAAUAUUUUUGCAAAUAAUACUCUUUUAGCAGGCCAUGUGGUGGUGGAGGACUAUGCUCACACUGCAGGGGCCAUUGUUGUUCAUCAAUUUUGCAGUGUUGGCUCUUUCUCUUUCAUUGGUGGUGGUUCUGUGGUUUCACAAGAUGUCCCAAAAUACAUGAUGGUGUCUGGAGAAAGAGCUGAGCUUCGUGGUUUAAAUUUGGAAGGUCUAAAACGGUGUGGAUUCUCAGAUACUGAGAUCAGGAGCCUGAGAACAGCUUACAGGAAGAUAUUCAUGUCUACUGAUGCAAAUUCUGGGGGUAUCGAAAAUCGUCUUGCCGAAGUGGAGAAGCAUGAAGAAUUGGCUUAUGUUCCUGCUGUGUGUUUGAUGGUACAGUCCAUUCGUGAUUCUUUUUCUGAAGAUCGUCGUGGAAUUUGCAAGUCCCGAUCAUUGAGUGUUUCUUGAAUGUGUGCCAUACUCAUAGAUAUUGCUCAAAGUUAAUAUACAUUUGAUUCUAUCAUGAUAAUGGACCAUGCCACGGCUGAUUGGACAGGAAAAAUGUUGGUGUUUAUGUGCUGGUUUCAGACUACUACUCUUUAGAGCGUACUGAACAACCAUUAAUUUGUCGAGCCAAUUGUAGAGCUGUGUAUGAAAUUAACCAGGCAGCUUUUGCUUGUAUGUACUGAUGCUUAUGUUGUAGCAGUUAUGGUAACUACGGAGGAAGAGUGAAUUUCAGCUUAUGGGAUUCUUAAAAGGGAUAUUAAUUACUGAACUUAGUUUAUACGAGAUUAGGCACUGUGAAUGCCUUGUAUUAAUUCAGAAUUAAGACUAUUGACCUAGAUGUACAUAUUGGUUGCUGUGAUUAAUUGAUCUCUUUGUGCAGUGCCCAUCUUCUCUUUUA